This 254-nucleotide ribosomal RNA is filed under the name uncultured bacterium. Its description in RNAcentral is "partial 16S ribosomal RNA". It matches the Rfam family "Bacterial small subunit ribosomal RNA", at positions 524 to 776 of the family's 1533-position model. The record is from RNAcentral.
UACGGAGGGUGCGAGCGUUGUCCGGAAUCAUUGGGCGUAAAGAGCUCGUAGGUGGCUCGGUUAGUCGGGUGUGAAAACUCGGGGCUCAACCCCGAGACGCCACUCGAUACUGCUGUGGCUUGAGUCCGGUAGGGGAGCGUGGAAUUCCUGGUGUAGCGGUGAAAUGCGCAGAUAUCAGGAGGAACACCGGUGGCGAAGGCGGCGCUCUGGGCCGGUACUGACACUGAGGAGCGAAAGCGUGGGGAGCAAACAGG